UACGGAGGGAGCGAGCGUUGUUCGGAAUUACUGGGCGUAAAGGGUGCGCAGGCGGCUUGGCAAGUCGGAAGUGAAAUCCCAGGGCUUAACCCUGGAAUUGCUUUCGAAACUGCCAAGCUAGAGUCUCGGAGAGGUUAGCGGAAUUCCCAGUGUAGAGGUGAAAUUCGUAGAUAUUGGGAGGAACACCAGUGGCGUAAGCGGCUAACUAGACGAGUACUGACGCUCAGGCACGAAAGCGUGGGGAUCAAACAGG
This 253-nucleotide ribosomal RNA is filed under the name uncultured bacterium. RNAcentral's name for it is "partial 16S ribosomal RNA". It matches the Rfam family "Bacterial small subunit ribosomal RNA", at positions 524 to 776 of the family's 1533-position model. The record is from RNAcentral.